RNAcentral lists this ribosomal RNA (252 nucleotides) under uncultured prokaryote. Its description in RNAcentral is "partial 16S ribosomal RNA". It matches the Rfam family "Bacterial small subunit ribosomal RNA", at positions 525 to 775 of the family's 1533-position model. The record is from RNAcentral.
ACGUAGGAGGCGAGCGUUAUCCGGAUUUACUGGGCGUAAAGCGCGUGCAGGCGGGGCGAUAAGUCGUGCGUGAAAGCUCCCAGGCUUAACCGGGCGAGGACAAUGAAGACUGGUCAGCUAGAGGACGGUAGAGGGGUGUGGAAUUCCAGGUGUAGUGGUGAAAUACGUAGAUAUCUGGAAGAACACCAGUUGCGAAGGCGGUCUCUUGGUCCGAUACUGACGCUGAGGCGCGAAAGCGUGGGGAGCAAACAG